Molecule: ribosomal RNA, 510 nt
Filed under: uncultured bacterium
Lineage: Bacteria
Description: partial 16S ribosomal RNA
Rfam family: Bacterial small subunit ribosomal RNA
Source: RNAcentral
GACGAACGCUGGCGGCGUGCUUAACACAUGCAAGUCGAACGAAGAGCGAUGGAAGCUUGCUUCUAUCAAUCUUAGUGGCGAACGGGUGAGUAACGCGUAAUCAACCUGCCCUUCAGAGGGGGACAACAGUUGGAAACGACUGCUAAUACCGCAUACGAUCUAAUCUCGGCAUCGAGGAUAGAUGAAAGGUGGCCUCUACAUGUAAGCUAUCACUGAAGGAGGGGAUUGCGUCUGAUUAGCUAGUUGGAGGGGUAACGGCCCACCAAGGCGAUGAUCAGUAGCCGGUCUGAGAGGAUGAACGGCCACAUUGGGACUGAGACACGGCCCAGACUCCUACGGGAGGCAGCAGAGGGGAAUCUUCCGCAAUGGACGAAAGUCUGACGGAGAAACGCCGCGUGAGUGAUGACGGCCUUCGGGUUGUAAAGCUCUGUUAAUCGGGACGAAAGGCCUUCUUGCGAAUAGUGAGAAGGAUUGACGGUACCGGAAUAGAAAGCCACGGCUAACUACGUG